RNAcentral lists this ribosomal RNA (505 nucleotides) under uncultured bacterium. Its description in RNAcentral is "bacterial SSU rRNA". It matches the Rfam family "Bacterial small subunit ribosomal RNA", at positions 28 to 492 of the family's 1533-position model. The record is from RNAcentral.
GACGAACGCUGGCGGCGUGCCUAAUACAUGCAAGUCGAACGCACUCUCGUUUAGAUUGAAGGAGCUUGCUCCUGAUUGAUAAACAUUUGAGUGAGUGGCGGACGGGUGAGUAACACGUGGGUAACCUGCCCUAAAGUGGGGGAUAACAUUUGGAAACAGAUGCUAAUACCGCACAAAACCUAACACCGCAUGGUGUAGGGUUGAAAGAUGGUUUCGGCUAUCACUUUAGGAUGGACCCGCGGUGCAUUAGUUAGUUGGUGAGGUAAAGGCUCACCAAGACCGUGAUGCAUAGCCGACCUGAGAGGGUAAUCGGCCACACUGGGACUGAGACACGGCCCAGACUCCUACGGGAGGCAGCAGUAGGGAAUCUUCCACAAUGGACGAAAGUCUGAUGGAGCAACGCCGCGUGAGUGAAGAAGGUUUUCGGAUCGUAAAACUCUGUUGUUGGAGAAGAAUGUAUCUGAUAGUAACUGAUCAGGUAGUGACGGUAUCCAACCAGAAAGCC